GUCAUACCUUGAUGGCAUGAAAAUAAACGUGGACAGUAAUGUAAUACACUAAUUGCAGUGAAAUGUCAACAUUAACUAAUAUUACACUUGACAAAUCAAACACUAAACAAAAACAAGGAUUAGAUACCCUUUUAUUUAGUGCCUAUUUUAACUGGCCGAGUAUUAGAACCCCCAAGGUCCAAACUCAAACAACAUGGCGGUAACUUUAACUUAGGGGAACUUGUUCGAUAAAUGAUAACCCCCAAGGUUAAUCAAUUUUGGGUAACUCUUGUAUGCCGCCGUCAGCAGACAAAUCUAGAGGCUUUGUCUUUAACAACCCCUUGCACAGGACAGGUCUAGGUGCAGACCAUCUCAAAAUCGUUAUGAGUUACUAUUUCGCAGCGAACCCUACAUAUGUAGGUCUCAAAGGAGGACUUAACAGUAACACAUAUUACUUAUGCUGCGUGAACUAAUUAAGUUGUGCACAA
RNAcentral lists this ribosomal RNA (467 nucleotides) under Thersites darlingtoni. Its description in RNAcentral is "partial 12S ribosomal RNA". The record is from RNAcentral. Lineage: Eukaryota; Metazoa; Mollusca; Gastropoda; Stylommatophora; Camaenidae.